AACUCUCAAACUCUUGUUUUGGAUGCAAAUCCUUGCUUGAGUUUGGACUUGGGUGUUUGCCGGUGAUGAACCGACUCGCCUUAAACAUAUUAGCUGGACUUGUCUAUAUGACUGGUUUGACUUGGCAUAAUAAGUAUUUUGCUAAGGACAUCUUCGGAUGGCCAGUACCUAGGCUCUGUGUCUGCUAACUAAACCAUCACUUGGAGUGCAUCUUUAUGGUGUUGCUUCCUGUGUAUACUUUGAC
Molecule: unclassified non-coding RNA, 244 nt
Filed under: Filobasidium uniguttulatum
Lineage: Eukaryota; Fungi; Basidiomycota; Tremellomycetes; Filobasidiales; Filobasidiaceae
Description: sequence contains ITS2
Source: RNAcentral